ACGCUCGACACCUACGUGAGGCAGCAGUGGGGAAUAUUGCACAAUGGGGGAAACCCUGAUGCAGCGACGCCGCGUGGAGGAAGAAGGUCUUCGGAUUGUAAACUCCUGUUGUUGGGGAAAAAGAGGAUGGUACCCAACAAGGAAGUGACGGCUAACUACGUGCCAGCAGACGCGGUAAUCUGAGCGGGCUGGCAAGGC
RNAcentral lists this ribosomal RNA (198 nucleotides) under uncultured bacterium. RNAcentral's name for it is "partial 16S ribosomal RNA". It matches the Rfam family "Bacterial small subunit ribosomal RNA", at positions 328 to 539 of the family's 1533-position model. The record is from RNAcentral.